GGCCCAAAUCUGGAGUAGAGUAAGUGAGCAGGAUCAGCUGACCUUACUAAUCUACUCUACUUCAAGUUUGUGCCC
Haemonchus contortus (barber pole worm) is the source of this 75-nucleotide non-coding RNA. The record is from Rfam. NCBI's taxonomy places the organism in Eukaryota, Metazoa, Nematoda, Chromadorea, Rhabditida, Trichostrongylidae.